UUGAACGCUGGCGGCGUGCUUAACACAUGCAAGUCGAGCGGUAAGGCCCUUUCGGGGUACGACGAGCGGCGAACGGGUGAGUAACACGUGGGUGACCUGCCCUCAGCUCUGGGAUAAGCCCGGGAAACUGGGUCUAAUACCGGAUAUGACUUCAUGACGCAUGUUGUGGAGUGGAAAGCCUUGUGCGGCUGAGGAUGGGCCCGCGGCCUAUCAGCUUGUUGGUGGGGUGANGGCCUACCAAGGCGACGACGGGUAGCCGGCCUGAGA
Molecule: ribosomal RNA, 267 nt
Filed under: uncultured bacterium
Lineage: Bacteria
Description: partial 16S ribosomal RNA
Rfam family: Bacterial small subunit ribosomal RNA
Source: RNAcentral